This 65-nucleotide transfer RNA is filed under the name Nanorana taihangnica (Taihangshan swelled-vented frog). RNAcentral describes it as "tRNA-Phe". The record is from RNAcentral. Lineage: Eukaryota; Metazoa; Chordata; Amphibia; Anura; Dicroglossidae.
GCUCUUAUAACAAACAAAAGUAUAGUGCCGAACACUAAAAUGAACUCUAAAAAGUUCUAAGGACA